AGUGAACGCUGGCGGUAGGCCUAACACAUGCAAGUCGAACGGCAGCACAGUAAGAGCUUGCUCUUACGGGUGGCGAGUGGCGGACGGGUGAGGAAUACAUCGGAAUCUACUUUUUCGUGGGGGAUAACGUAGGGAAACUUACGCUAAUACCGCAUACGACCUACGGGUGAAAGCAGGGGAUCUUCGGACCUUGCGCGAUUGAAUGAGCCGAUGUCGGAUUAGCUAGUUGGCGGGGUAAAGGCCCACCAAGGCGACGAUCCGUAGCUGGUCUGAGAGGAUGAUCAGCCACACUGGAACUGAGACACGGUCAAGACUCCUGCGGGAGGCAGCAGUGGGGAAUAUUGGACAAUGGGCGCAAGCCUGAUCCAGCCAUACCGCGUGGGUGAAGAAGGCCUUCGGGUUGUAAAGCCCUUUUGUUGGGAAAGAAAAGCAGCAGGUUAAGACCACGCUGUUCUGACGGUACCCAAAGAAUAAGCACCGGCUAACUUCGUG
RNAcentral lists this ribosomal RNA (492 nucleotides) under uncultured bacterium. RNAcentral's name for it is "partial 16S ribosomal RNA". It matches the Rfam family "Bacterial small subunit ribosomal RNA", at positions 29 to 507 of the family's 1533-position model. The record is from RNAcentral.